This 833-nucleotide ribosomal RNA is filed under the name uncultured marine group I thaumarchaeote. Its description in RNAcentral is "bacterial SSU rRNA". It matches the Rfam family "Archaeal small subunit ribosomal RNA", at positions 526 to 1358 of the family's 1478-position model. Lineage: Archaea; Thermoproteati; Nitrososphaerota. The record is from RNAcentral.
CGGCUCUGUAAGUUUUCGGUUAAAUCUGUACGCUCAACGUACAGGCUGCCGGGAAUACUGCAGAGCUAGGGAGCGGGAGAGGUAGACGGUACUCGGGAGGAAGUGGUAAAAUGCUUUGAUCUCUCGAUGACCACCUGUGGCGAAGGCGGUCUACCAGAACACGUCCGACGGUGAGGGAUGAAAGCUGGGGGAGCAAACCGGAUUAGAUACCCGGGUAGUCCCAGCUGUAAACUAUGCAAACUCAGUGAUGCAUUGGCUUGUGGCCAAUGCAUUAUUGCAGGGAAGCCGUUAAGUUUGCCGCCUGGGAAGUACGUACGCAAGUAUGAAACUUAAAGGAAUUGGCGGGGGAGCACCACAAGGGGUAAAGCCUGCGGUUCAAUUGGAGUCAACGCCAGAAAUCUUACCCGGAGAGACAGCAGAAUGAAGGUCAAGCUGAAGACUUUACCAGACAAGCUGAGAGGUGGUGCAUGGCCGUCGCCAGCUCGUGCCGUGAGAUGUCCUGUUAAGUCAGGUAACGAGCGAGAUCCCUGCCUCUAGUUGCCACCAUUACUCUUAGGAGUAGUGGGGCGAAUUAGCGGGACCGCCGCAGUUAAUGCGGAGGAAGGAAGGGGCCACGGCAGGUCAGUAUGCCCCGAAACUCUGGGGCCACACGCGGGCUGCAAUGGUAAUGACAAUGGGUUCCGAAUCCGAAAGGGGGAGGUAGUCCCCAAACAUUACCACAGUUAUGACUGAGGGCUGCAACUCGCCCUCACGAAUAUGGAAUCCCUAGUAACUGCGUGUCAUUAUCGCGCGGUGAAUACGUCCCUGCUCCUUGCACACACCGCCCGUCGUUG